CGGGGAAAAGAACCCACCAGGGGAUGCCUCAGUAACGGCGAGUGAAGCGGCAACAGCUCAAAUUUGAAAUCUGGCCCCCCCUCUGGGGGGGUCCGAGUUGUAAUUUGCAGAGGGCGCUUUGGCAUCGGCGGCGGUCUAAGUUCCUUGGAACAGGACAUCGCAGAGGGUGAGAAUCCCGUACGUGGGCGCCUGCCUUUGCCGUGUAAAGCCCCUUCGACGAAGUCGAGUUGUUUGGGAAUGCAGCUCUAAAUGGGAGGUAAAUUUCUUCUAAAGCUAAAUACCGGCCAGAGACCGAUAGCGCACAAGUAGAGUGAUCGAAAGAUGAAAAGUACUUUGGAAAGAGAGUCAAAUAGCACGUGAAAUUGUUGAAAGGGAAGCGCUUGCAGCCAGACGUGCGCGCGGUUGCUCACCCCGGCUCUCGCCUGGGGCACUCUUCCGCGCGCAGGCCAGCAUCAGUUCGGGCGGUCGGAUAAAGGCCUCUGUCAAGUACCUUCCCCCGGGAAGGCCUUAUAGGGGAGGCGCAAUGCGACCAGCCCGGACUGAGGUCCGCGCAUCUGCUAGGAUGCUGGCGUAAUGGCUGUAAGCGGCCCGUCUUGAAACACGGACCAAGGAGUCUAACAUCUAUGCGAGUGUUUGGGUGUCAAGCCCGGGCGCGCAAUGAAAGUGAACGGAGGUGGGAUCCCCUUCCGGGGUGCACCAUCGACCGAUCCUGAUGUCUUCGGAUGGAUUUGAGUAAGAGCAUAGCUGUUGGGACCCGAAAGAUGGUGAACUAUGCUUGAAUAGGGUGAAGCCAGAGGAAACUCUGGUGGAGGCUCGCAGCGGUUCUGACGUGCAAAUCGAUCGUCAAAUUUGGGCAUAAGGGGCGAAAGACUAAUCGAA
RNAcentral lists this ribosomal RNA (879 nucleotides) under Montagnula donacina. RNAcentral describes it as "partial large subunit ribosomal RNA". It matches the Rfam family "Eukaryotic large subunit ribosomal RNA", at positions 51 to 939 of the family's 3401-position model. The record is from RNAcentral. Lineage: Eukaryota; Fungi; Ascomycota; Dothideomycetes; Pleosporales; Didymosphaeriaceae.